Long non-coding RNA from Ostrinia nubilalis (European corn borer), 900 nucleotides. RefSeq lists it as uncharacterized. The transcript is spliced from 3 exons. NCBI's taxonomy places the organism in Eukaryota, Metazoa, Arthropoda, Insecta, Lepidoptera, Crambidae. The record is from RefSeq and is a predicted model, not a curated record.
UCCGCGGAGCUCACUCGUACGUCACGCGCUGUGUCAAAAACCGACUUUUCGAAUACGAAUUUGGAACGUUUUGGACCGGUAAUGUCGGUUCAACUGUCGCUUUUAAACAGCGGACUUCUCGCGACCGCCUAAAUUUCGCGUUGCGAAUCGAACGUGCGAUUGCUUCAUUCUGUUACGUGCCGCUUUAACAGAUAACUGUGAAGGAACGUGUGUAGGCUUUCAGUGUUGUGGGAUCAGCAGAUUUAGUGCUUCAUCUGUGCAGUGCAAUUGGAGCAUGUGUUUUAGUGGAAAGUGCUAAUUUUGCCGUUUGGCUCGUCUAUCGAUACGUUUCACUGAACUCGAGACAAAAAGUGGUUUUGUGAUCGAGUUCAUGUGACUACCGGAGUAUUGAUACGCAUUGCUUUCCCCCUGUCCACAAUUUGAUUUAUGGACCGCCCUGGCAAAGAGCAGACGCCGUACAGAGAGGGCACAAGCCCUCACACACCAACAUGUGACCACCGAAGCGCCGACCAAAACACAAACCCUCUUCAAAUUCAUGAGUCUCCCAAGAUUACAUGAUUAAGAAUAUUUAUUGUACUAUAAUAACGAAUCUAGUCGCCACAGCACUUUUUAACACGAAGCAACUUUAGACUGUAUUUUAAAAGGGUAAAGUCGAUAAUUGAACGAUUGUCGAACUAGUACAAAGAUUAAGGAGUUGAGAGAGUACAAAAGGAACACUAACGUCGAUUUAGAAGUAAAUUGAACAUCUUAGAAGUUCCUGCACACAAGAGCCAAAAUGUCUACGAGUUUCGAGCACUCAGCCAUGAAGAGCAGCUUCUCGCUGUCGUCGCUGGGGACUGCGCCGGCGCCCCCUGGCGGCCGCUGCGACCAACUGGAGCGGCCGUACCACAGCCUCACUAA